This 923-nucleotide long non-coding RNA is filed under the name Manacus vitellinus (golden-collared manakin). RNAcentral's name for it is "lncRNA (ENSMVIG00005018826.1)". Lineage: Eukaryota; Metazoa; Chordata; Aves; Passeriformes; Pipridae. The record is from RNAcentral.
CUUGUGUGUUUUAUACAUACAUUUACUACAUUUUUAUGAAAACAGAAAGAAGGUAAGCAGGCUACAUUUCCUACUCAAGAAAGAUAUUCCCAGUGAAAAUUCCAAAAGAUAGUUUGAAGAAACAAACCUAGAGCAAUGGAGAUCUUGAGAUUUGUGUCCAUAUGUGGAUCCCAAGAAGAACUAAGGAUGAGUUUAGGAACUUCAGGCACUGCUGUUUCAUUUCUUACACUUAUGGUGAUAUGAAUAAUUUUGCAAUUUAAGCUUCUAAACUGCUAAUUUCAUACUGCAUGCUUUCUCAGUAGUAGGGGGAAUUAGUACCUUGUCAGCAGAAUGUUUUUAAAGAGUUGUCCCUUGAAAUAAUAUUAUUUACUGUUUGUAUAGAAUUAUAUCUUACGGAUUCAAUAUAGUUCUGACAAGCUUGAUUAAAUAAUAAUGUACAAAUGUGAAGUGUAUUAGCUCUGUUCAGUGCUUCUAUUAAAAGUAAAUAAAUCAGUAAAGCAACUGAAAAUAGAAAUGACUAAUUACUAGAUUUACUUUUGAUAGCUGAAGGCAAAUGGAGAGUCAGAAUGUUGGAAUGUGCUUGUAGGUGUGGAGACCUUCGGAAGAAAUGGUGAGGAGGGAGAGGUGGACACCUGCUCAAAGAAGAUUUUGCUGCCAGGGAGAAGCUGUAACGUGGGAAAGAAUUCGUCCUCGUGCAGGAUGCUGUACUGGGAAUGACAGGCAACCAUUUGCUGUCUCACUGUCGGUGCCUCAGGAGUCAAGCUGCAUCAAGAGAGUUCUUCACAGAGCUGUUUCUAGGAACUCUUUAGUUAGAUUCUUGAAUCAAAAGGUAAGAUUGAAGAGGAAUGUAGGCAAUUUUCCAUGUUAGUGGAAGUACAUGGAGCUGUAAAUGGAACUGUUCUAGUUGUUUAAUAAAAUAACGA